GGGAGCAGGAUGAAACAGAAAUCACACACAGAAAUUAUACGUAAUUAUUAUGUAAAAUUAGUCUACUUUUUUUUCUCCACAUUUUCCACUGAUGUUAAAAUCUUAAUAAUACAAUGCUAAAUAUAUCAGUAACAGAUCAUUAACAACUCUAAAUGUAGAAACAACAUCAAAGAUGAUUCCUCUUUUUUUUCCUCUUUAGUAAACUCUCCAGUUGAUAAAUCAGAGUUGAAAUAAUUGAAAUUAAGACCAGUUUUGUUUAUAAAGAUUGCUAACCAUUGUAAAUAUCUAUAGAGUUAAGACCCAUUAUAAAAGAAUUAGAGACCAUAGAUCUACCUAGUAUCUUUCAUUGUGCAGAAGGAUUUAUUUUCCUACU
Molecule: long non-coding RNA, 373 nt
Filed under: Bos taurus (domestic cattle)
Lineage: Eukaryota; Metazoa; Chordata; Mammalia; Artiodactyla; Bovidae
Description: long non-coding RNA NONBTAT022452
Source: RNAcentral